Molecule: ribosomal RNA, 253 nt
Filed under: uncultured bacterium
Lineage: Bacteria
Description: partial 16S ribosomal RNA
Rfam family: Bacterial small subunit ribosomal RNA
Source: RNAcentral
UACGGGGGGGGCAAGCGUUGUUCGGAAUUACUGGGCGUAAAGGGCGCGUAGGCGGCCUGCUAAGUCGGACGUGAAAUCCCUCGGCUCAACCGGGGAACUGCGUCCGAUACUGGUGGGCUCGAAUCCGGGAGAGGGAUGUGGAAUUCCAGGUGUAGCGGUGAAAUGCGUAGAUAUCUGGAGGAACACCGGUGGCGAAGGCGGCAUCCUGGACCAGUAUUGACGCUGAUGCGCGAAAGCCAGGGGAGCAAACGGG